UCACUGUGACACAACAGGGUGGAGCAGGGACAUACAGACUGGGAUCUUCAACACAACAUGCCACCAGUCAGCUCCUUAACAGUGGGAACAUGACCACAGGUUAAAGGUCAGGGGAAAGACAGAAGGAAUGACCACUUGAAGUACAACCAGUACAGCAGCAAUCAGCUGGUCUUGUAAGGACUGUAAAAACAAAGGCCUGAAGUUGGUUGAGAGCAAGAUUUGAAAGACACCACUUGCACUUUUUUUCAUUACAUCACUUCAUAUGACUGUACAGCAAAGGAGCCUACAUGAUGCAAGCUAAACCUUUUUGGAGAGGAAGAUUGUUUCUCUUGGACUGACUUACAAGCUUCAGAGGCCAACAGCACAGUUGAAAUUCAAGUAUUUGAAAACUCAA
Molecule: long non-coding RNA, 394 nt
Organism: Cyanistes caeruleus (blue tit)
Lineage: Eukaryota; Metazoa; Chordata; Aves; Passeriformes; Paridae
Source: RefSeq, a predicted model, not a curated record